GAAGGUUAAAUACAUAUCCAAAAUGAUAAGCUAUAACACUCUUGAAACAAAAAUAUAUGUCUUCCAGUCCACCACUUUGGUCCAGACUGAAAAGUCUGAGGUACUAGAUGCACUGUUGUGGUAAUGUUUUCAGUUUGUUAGUGGGUAUGCGUGUGUGUCACCAUGACAAAAUUUGAAGCCUUUUUUUUUUUUUACGGGAACUAACACUGAAGCGAUUUUAAGUAUUUUGCCAUGUGUUUAUAUAUCUGUCUGUCUAUAAAUCUGUCAUCACUGU
Acanthopagrus latus (yellowfin seabream) is the source of this 274-nucleotide long non-coding RNA. RefSeq lists it as uncharacterized. NCBI's taxonomy places the organism in Eukaryota, Metazoa, Chordata, Actinopteri, Spariformes, Sparidae. The record is from RefSeq and is a predicted model, not a curated record. The transcript has 3 exons.